CCUCCAGUCAACAUCACCUCAUAAGAUUGUCUGCUGCAGUUGUUAGAGAAAUGUCCAGUUUGCUGCCGAACAUGCAGCAUAGAGAAGACCAGCAAGGGGGCCUUCAUCAGCUUCAUGUAGACAUGCCCUUGCUGUUAGCAUUCCUAUGAAUGGAAGAGUCAGCCACAUGUUGGCAAGUAUCCGGCCAGCAACCACCACCUGUCAGCGGCAACAGCUUUCACAGGCUCAUCAUUUGUACAAAUACAGAAGUAUCUUUGAUGAGGGGCCAGGAGUUGAUCUACGCUGCUAUGCCCAUCAAUGGGGCUCUGGCAAAGACUUCACCUCUUGCCUGCUCACUAACAGUCGUCGAUGGGGAACAGAAUUAGAAACAUGUAUGGAGCCAACACAUGGAGACUUGCAAGAUGA
This is a long non-coding RNA of Coregonus clupeaformis (lake whitefish), 405 nucleotides long. RefSeq lists it as uncharacterized. The transcript is spliced from 3 exons. Lineage: Eukaryota; Metazoa; Chordata; Actinopteri; Salmoniformes; Salmonidae. The record is from RefSeq and is a predicted model, not a curated record.